RNAcentral lists this ribosomal RNA (253 nucleotides) under uncultured bacterium. RNAcentral's name for it is "partial 16S ribosomal RNA". It matches the Rfam family "Bacterial small subunit ribosomal RNA", at positions 524 to 776 of the family's 1533-position model. The record is from RNAcentral.
UACGAAGGGGGCUAGCGUUGCUCGGAAUCACUGGGCGUAAAGCGCACGUAGGCGGAUUGUUAAGUCAGGGGUGAAAUCCUGGAGCUCAACUCCAGAACUGCCUUUGAUACUGGCGAUCUUGAGUUCGGGAGAGGUGAGUGGAACUGCGAGUGUAGAGGUGAAAUUCGUAGAUAUUCGCAAGAACACCAGUGGCGAAGGCGGCUCACUGGCCCGGUACUGACGCUGAGGUGCGAAAGCGUGGGGAGCGAACAGG